AGGCAUUAAAUAAGAUUACCCUCUUCUUACAAUUGUUGUUUCUAUUGCUUUCCCUAUGUCAAUUGAUAUCAGUGACUUGUAGUUGAUAGUGGGAAUUUCCGUAGUCAUUUUUCACUAGUAUUUCCCUUCAAUUUCAUAAGAUGGUUUGGAUAGCAUAAAUUUGGAGUUGCAUCGUGAAUUCUGCCAUUUCUAUGGAUUCAGAAGUUAGUUGGCUUCAUUUGUUGUUAGUUUCUAUCUUACCAGGUGAUAAAUGUUCUUUGGCUUUUCCUUUCAUCUUUUAAUGUUUUGCUAAGUUUCUGGAUUGAAAAGGAUGCAGAGAGGACAUGUUGUCGAGCUGUUACCCAUAUUUGAAGUUGAUUAGAACAGUAAACAGACAUUUGUUUGAGGGAAGCAUGAUUAUGUAGAAAACUCAAUUUGAUGUUGCUUCUCUUUUGGUUAUUGGAUUGUAGGAGCAUUGGGGAAGGACUAAAGCCCAUUAGUUAGUGAGGUGUGCCAUGUUAAACAAAAAAAAAUGACAAUUGCAUGGCCCUCAUUUAUAUUGAAUUGAUCCUUAGAAUACGAGGCGAGCCAUUUAGUCAAAAUUCUAUGGCCCUCGCAAAUUUGCAAACGCAUAUUCAUUUUAGGCUAGUUAAAUAAUUCACUUUCCUAAAUACGGGUGCACAUAUAUAUGACCCAAAUCAGAGUUUCAACGAAGUUGGAAUGUGUCAAAAUUCACGGGUGCAUUUAUGUGAUGUGGUUCGAGGCAUGUUUUAACACGUUGCAAUUCUCUUUAAAAUAAUGAUAAAAGUGGUUUAAGGUUAGAAAGCAUAUAAGUUAAAACAUGUUCUAAAAUCAGGUAAUUUAAGCCAAAUAUAAUAGUUGAGCGACCGUGCUAGAACCACGGAACAUGGGAAUGCCUAACACCUUCUCGGGGGUUAACAUAAUUCCUUACCCGGAGUUCUGGUUCGCAGACUGUUAUAUAGAGUGAUUCCUUCCUCGAUUCGGGAUUCUAACCGGUGACUUGGGACACUAUAAAUCUCCCAAGUGGCGACUCAAAAUUCUCUCAAAAUUGAAUCCUGUUUCGAUUGUCCUUUAAUUGGAAAAACUCCCUUAUCUACACCCUUCGCCGGGUUGGAUAGCAAAAAGGAGGUGUGACAGCUCUGGCGACUCUGCUGGGGAAGGUGGACCCAUAAUCUCUGGUUCAGGGUUCAAGAAUUCGAACUUACAAUAACUGUUAUAUUUGGUUUCUUCUAAUUUGUUUACCUGCUCUGUGCUAAAUGCCGCAUGUUUUACCACUUUGAUAUUAUCAAAACUGUAUAUAUAAACUGUUACGACACCCUUCACUUCUCACCUCUGAGGAUGUGCUUACUAGUUGAGACUCCCUAUUCUGUUAGUGUCUUACCCUAAAAUAAGAAAGAGGCCGGACAAGUUACAAAGCUGGACGAUCUCGCGG
Molecule: long non-coding RNA, 1432 nt
Filed under: Nicotiana benthamiana
Lineage: Eukaryota; Viridiplantae; Streptophyta; Magnoliopsida; Solanales; Solanaceae
Description: long non-coding RNA (NBEN_LNC005552)
Source: RNAcentral